This 399-nucleotide ribosomal RNA is filed under the name Metromonas sp. Its description in RNAcentral is "partial small subunit ribosomal RNA". It matches the Rfam family "Eukaryotic small subunit ribosomal RNA", at positions 582 to 975 of the family's 1831-position model. Lineage: Eukaryota; Cercozoa; Imbricatea; Metromonadea. The record is from RNAcentral.
AUUCCAGCUCCAGUAGCGUAUAUUAUUACUGUUGUAGUUAAAAAGCUCGUAGUUGAAUAUCUGGCGUUGGGAAGCCCUGCCCGCCGCGAUUCGCGUGUGAGUUGUGGGGCGUCCCCGCCAUCCUGUGUGGGAGCCCGCCUACCCUUCAUUGGGCCGGGCGGUGCGAGCACACUCAGUUACUUUGAGAAAAUCUGCGCGUUCAAAGCAGGCACACGCUAUGAAAGCUUCAGCAUGGAAUAAUAAUUUAGGACUUGGUAUCCUAUUUUGUUGGUUUUCAGGAUCUAAGUAAUGAUUGAUAGGGAUAGUUGGGGGUGCUAGUAUUUUGCGGCCAGAGGUGAAAUUCUGUGAUUCGCGAAAGACUAACUUAUGCGAAAGCAUUCACCAAGGAUGUCUUCAUUA